GCAAAGAGCAGUAGCGUUGUAAAAACCUGGUUGCGUAAACUGAUUUUGCAUGUUUUUCUUUCUUAUCAGUUAUCACAGCUAAUUAAUUAGUAAUGGCGGUCUGAUAUAAUAUUCCUGUGUUUGUGUAAUAUUGAAAUGAAAUGAAUCAAUUAAAGAGAAGAGUGUUGGUGUUAGAAUUUUAUUUAAUCAAUAUUCCAAAGCAAAUGUGCUCCUUGAAAUUGAAAGAAGACGAAGAUAAAAUGAUGUUACUCUAUAUUAAAAGCAUCCUGGUGCAUCUUGUCUCGUGUGUCAGCAAUUACCAAAGACUAAACGGUGUCCAUAGUAUUUUAGCCGCCAAGCCUAAAGUAACGAUUUCGGUUAAUGAAAUGAUGAAAUUCGUUCCUAGUAUCGUUGGUAUUUGAAGGACCGUGUAUGAUAUUGAUGUUGUAUUCAAUGGGAGGUAUGAUUUUCAAAUACAUACAUAUUGCUUGAAGAAAUGUACGUAUUGUGUCAGGAAUGUCGACUGAAAAUUCCCUUACUUUUUUGUUAUCUACUUCGGUCCAAUUUAUUGCUGGAUGACAUUUUCACGUCCAAUGUUGGCUUGCCAGACAUCGAUCCUCAGAUAUGGACGUACCCAUCAGUCUAACCAUCACAAUAUUGUAUGUUUACUCCUAUACAUUGUGCAGGAAUUGGCUAUCGUUUUCCAGUUCAGCUUUAAUCCCAAAACUUUCUGUGAUGCGCCUGCAAUAUUGUUUUCAUUCAUUUCGCUGGAUCGCUGGUUAGAGAAUAUUGCCAAAGGGAAAACACCCCAAGCGUUUUCUACAUUGUUAUCAUUGAAAGCAACAGAUGCUUUGCUGUUCACGGUUGGUUCGGAUUCUGAGAUUUUGAGCGAAAAACAAAUCAAGGUAUCGCGUGUUGGAAAAGAAUCAGUCGAUGGGAAAAUCACUUACGAUACUUCGAGCUGCGACGAAUCACUUACUUAUUGCCGGAGAAUUGAUACCAGUUGAGAAGAAAAUCUGAACAAAAACUUGUUAAUCAACGUGAAUUAUAAUUCUACAGGUUGUCUAGUCAUAGUUUGCUCGAUUAAUCAAAACUGUAUGUUGUUAAUAGCGGCCACUCAUCUGGCCGAAUCAACCACCCUCGCACGAAUUGUACGUUUGGUGGAAGAAACUCGUACUUCCAAUUCCAAAGCACCUAUACAACAAUUCGUCGUUAAAAUUGUCGGCGCGAAGAAAAUUCGGUCAUGAGUGGAGACAAAAUGAUAUUCCAGUUCUUAUUCCGGUGUGCUUUGAAUGUUCUGGCGAUAGCGUGUCCUUUUCCGCUAGCUUUGGCUACUCCUAUAGCUGUCUUUGUCGGUAUCAGUGUCGGAGCAAUUAAUGGUAUGGUGCCUAACCGUUGGAAAUAGCGCACAAAGCUAUAUUGUUUUUGACAAAACUAGAACGUUAACCAACGGCUUUCCACUGGUUUCCAGAAUGUAUCUAUCUUUAGAUCUUAUUGAGUAUGUAUGUAUAUUGUCCGAUGAUGUUUACGAAACUCGAGGUAUCACGCGAAUUAUACUGACUGGUACAAGCGAAGAAUGUAUCCCGUUACUUAGAAAAUACUUACUUAGAUAAUUCUAGUGAGUUAAAGUGUUAGUUUAAUAGCAGUUCGAAGAUUUCAUUAGAAUUUUCUUCUCGAAGAUAUGUGCUUGCCAUUCGUGAAUCGAAAGUUGAAUGUGCCAAGUUAAUUUUUGGAUGGUUACUUUGACCGAGUAUCCGGGACCUGCUAUGAAAUACCAGUAUUCCGAAUGGAAUAAAUUUUAUGUUGUUGUUUCCACGGUAAUCAGAUGCUGUGAUGGAUGAAGUCAGUGCAAUCAUUUUCAGGUUCGUGGACAUGGAUUUUUUUUGUUUUUUGAUAAUUGAAUAACGAGGUCAAUGUUAUUGACAUUGUUACGUUCGGAAAAGUCGUAGCAAACGCAUCCUAUAUCAAACGAGUCAAAUAAUGAUUUAAUUACGGCGAUAUUGAGAGAAAGAUGUGACGGUAAUCGUAAUCUUUUGCAUGCCUGCGUAUCGAUGUGUGCUCCUGUUUCGAAUAAAGAUCACGAAGCCGCCGUCCGCGAAAUGGAUUUCGAUCAGACUACUACCCACAUGGAAACCAGCCACACCGAAGAACCAUUGGCUCAUAAUUACGGAUGGCCUAACGAAGCAUUCCAUUCGGCUUCCGGGGACGAAGAUAGCAUCGGUUUGAUACCGAUGCCAGGUACUGCGUCUUCCGCCAAAUCGAUGCCUAAUUUGUCCACCACGUCAGGGCCCUGCUGCGUUGAAUCCGAGCACCGGAGGACCCUACAUUACAGAUCCGACCGAACGAAGGAAUAACGCUUUGCUGAUAUUGAAGCUUUUAUGCGAAAGUACCGUGUUGCAACCUCACAUUAAAGAAUUAUUAACUGGAAAAGACGCCAAAGGCCAAACACCGUUCAUGUUGGCGGUGAAUUGACGAGCCUAUCAAGCAGCCCUAAUCUUAUUCGAUACGAUUAAACGCGUCGCGAACCAAGAAUGUUCGACGGGACCUUCCAGCAGCACCACAACAGCUCCCACUGCUUCUGUUUUGACCACCCCUGCAGCUGCCACUGCGGCUACCUCAACAUCGGCCGCUGGUGCCAGCAGUACUCCUACUGCUGCUGUAGCGAGUGGAAGUGCCGGCUCAGCUUCAACUACUACCAACGUACCGUAUUUCGAUAACUUGGAAACACCUUCUACCGCAGCGGCUGCUACUGCUGCUGCUGUAUCGUUUAGCGGAACAACGUCUCCGGUGACUGGAUUCGCCGUAGCUCCGGCUAUCACAGAAGUGGCAGCUGCCAUGACUCAGAAUACGACGGCCGAACAAAAACUCAAGAACGUCAUGAGCGCGUGGUUUUCCAAGGAAACCCUCGGGUCGACUCCGUCUGCCGGCCUAUCGACGGCGCCCUCAGCUCCGCUGCAUCGAACAAGAAAUGCGUUAGUCCGCCGGAAUGUGUGAAGAAACGAUGGGAAACGUUUCGAAGGCUCGAAUCCGGAUAAUUCACCGUUAUACGUGAUCUGUUGCAACGAUACGUGCAGUUUUACGUGGACCGGAGCCGAACAUAUUAAUCAG
This is an RNA transcript of Planococcus citri (citrus mealybug), 3087 nucleotides long. RefSeq lists it as uncharacterized. NCBI's taxonomy places the organism in Eukaryota, Metazoa, Arthropoda, Insecta, Hemiptera, Pseudococcidae. The transcript is spliced from 12 exons. The record is from RefSeq and is a predicted model, not a curated record.